CCGGAUUUAUUGGGUUUAAAGGGUGCGUAGGCGGGACUGUAAGUCAGGGGUGAAAUACUGCAGCUUAACUGUAGCAUUGCCUUUGAAACUGUGGUUCUUGAGUACAGUUGAGGUAGGCGGAAUGUGGUGUGUAGCGGUGAAAUGCAUAGAUAUACCACAGAACGCCGAUUGCGAAGGCAGCUUACUAAGCUGUUACUGACGCUGAGGCACGAAAGCGUGGGGAUCAAACAGGAUUAGAUACCCUGGUAGUCCACGCUGUAAACGAUGAUUACUGGUUGUUAGCGAUAUAUAGCUAGUGACUGAGCGAAAGCAUUAAGUAAUCCACCUGGGGAGUACGUCGGCAACGAUGAAACUCAAAGGAAUUGACGGGGGCCCGCACAAGCGGAGGAACAUGUGGUUUAAUUCGAUGAUACGCGAGGAACCUUACC
This 428-nucleotide ribosomal RNA is filed under the name uncultured Bacteroidota bacterium. RNAcentral's name for it is "bacterial SSU rRNA". It matches the Rfam family "Bacterial small subunit ribosomal RNA", at positions 545 to 975 of the family's 1533-position model. Lineage: Bacteria; Pseudomonadati; Bacteroidota. The record is from RNAcentral.